RNAcentral lists this ribosomal RNA (468 nucleotides) under uncultured bacterium. Its description in RNAcentral is "partial 16S ribosomal RNA". It matches the Rfam family "Bacterial small subunit ribosomal RNA", at positions 28 to 507 of the family's 1533-position model. The record is from RNAcentral.
GACGAACGCUGGCGGCGUGCUUAACACAUGCAAGUCGAACGGAAAGGCCCUGCUUUUGUGGGGUGCUCGAGUGGCGAACGGGUGAGUAACACGUGAGUAACCUGCCCUUGACUUUGGGAUAACUUCAGGAAACUGGGGCUAAUACCGGAUAGGAGCUCCUGCUGCAUGGUGGGGGUUGGAAAGUUUCGGCGGUGGGGGAUGGACUCGCGGCUUAUCAGCUUGUUGGUGGGGUAGUGGCUUACCAAGGCUUUGACGGGUGGCCGGCCUGAGAGGGUGACCGGCCACAUUGGGACUGAGAUACGGCCCAGACUCCUACGGGAGGCAGCAGUGGGGAAUAUUGCACAAUGGGCGGAAGCCUGAUGCAGCAACGCCGCGUGCGGGAUGACGGCCUUCGGGUUGUAAACCGCUUUCGCCUGUGACGAAGCGUGAGUGACGGUAAUGGGUAAAGAAGCACCGGCUAACUACGUG